CUCAUUAAAUCAGUUAUCGUUUAUUUGAUAGUACCUUACUACAUGGAUAACCGUGGUAAUUCUAGAGCUAAUACAUGCUAAAAACCCCGACUUCGGAAGGGGUGUAUUUAUUAGAUUAAAAACCAAUGCCCUUCGGGGCUCUCUGGUGAUUCAUAAUAACUUCUCGAAUCGCACGGCCUUGCGCCGGCGAUGGUUCAUUCAAAUUUCUGCCCUAUCAACUUUCGACGGCUGGGUCUUGGCCAGCCAUGGUGACAACGGGUAACGGAGGGUUAGGGCUCGACCCCGGAGAAGGAGCCUGAGAAACGGCUACUACAUCCAAGGAAGGCAGCAGGCGCGCAAAUUACCCAAUCCCGACUCGGGGAGGUAGUGACAAUAAAUACUGAUACAGGGCUCUUUUGGGUCUUGUAAUUGGAAUGAGUACAAUUUAAAUCCCUUAAC
This 438-nucleotide ribosomal RNA is filed under the name Coniochaeta discoidea. RNAcentral describes it as "SSU rRNA". It matches the Rfam family "Eukaryotic small subunit ribosomal RNA", at positions 97 to 538 of the family's 1831-position model. The record is from RNAcentral. Lineage: Eukaryota; Fungi; Ascomycota; Sordariomycetes; Coniochaetales; Coniochaetaceae. RNAcentral also lists the same sequence under 2 other names.